Molecule: long non-coding RNA, 252 nt
Filed under: Sorghum bicolor (sorghum)
Lineage: Eukaryota; Viridiplantae; Streptophyta; Magnoliopsida; Poales; Poaceae
Description: long non-coding RNA (SBIC_LNC013356)
Source: RNAcentral
UCACAUCGAAUCUUACGGCACAUGCAUGGAGCAUUAAAUAUAAAUGAAAAUAAAAACUAAUUGCACAGUUUGUCUGUAAAUUACGAGACGAAUCUUUUAAUUCUAGUUAUUCUAUAAUUGGAUAAUGUUUGUCAAAUAAAAACAAAAGUGCUACAGUGUCAAAAUCCAAAAAAAAAAUAGAUCUAAGCCUUAGCCGAUUUUAUGGUCAGCCCGAACAUACAUGUGAUGUAUUGUCGACGGCACUCACACGCG